RNAcentral lists this ribosomal RNA (458 nucleotides) under uncultured bacterium. Its description in RNAcentral is "partial 16S ribosomal RNA". It matches the Rfam family "Bacterial small subunit ribosomal RNA", at positions 338 to 795 of the family's 1533-position model. The record is from RNAcentral.
CCUACGGGAGGCAGCAGUGAGGAAUAUUGGUCAAUGGUCGGGAGACUGAACCAGCCAAGCCGCGUGAGGGAUGAAGGUACAGAGUAUCGUAAACCUCUUUUGUCAGGGAACAAAGGCGGGGACGUGUCCCGGAUGAGUGUACCUGAAGAAAAAGCAUCGGCUAACUCCGUGCCAGCAGCCGCGGUAAUACGGAGGAUGCGAGCGUUAUCCGGAUUUAUUGGGUUUAAAGGGUGCGCAGGCGGUCUGUUAAGUCAGCGGUAAAAGCCCGGGGCUCAACCCCGGCCCGCCGUUGAAACUGGCAGUCUCGAGUUGGAGAGAAGUAGGCGGAAUGCGCGGUGUAGCGGUGAAAUGCAUAGAUAUCGCGCAGAACUCCGAUUGAGAAGGCAGCAUGCCGGCUCCACACUGACGCUGAGGCACGAAAGCGUGGGUAUCGAACAGGAUUAGAUACCCUUGUAGUC